RNAcentral lists this ribosomal RNA (620 nucleotides) under Gephyromantis ceratophrys. RNAcentral's name for it is "partial 16S ribosomal RNA". The stretch from base 1 to 425 matches the Rfam family "Bacterial large subunit ribosomal RNA", at positions 687 to 1300 of the family's 2925-position model. The record is from RNAcentral. Lineage: Eukaryota; Metazoa; Chordata; Amphibia; Anura; Mantellidae.
CAAGCAAAAUGAGUUUUAGUAUGAACCCCCGAAACUAAGUGAGCUACUUCGGAACAGUUUAAAGAACAAACCCGUCUCUGUUGCAAUAGAGUGGGGUGAUUUCCAAGUAGAGGCGACAAACCAACCGCACCUAGAGAUAGCUGGUUGCUCAAGAAAGGAAUAUAAGUUCAACCUUAAGUUUUUAAAUUACACAAAAAACCCAUAAGACUUAAGAGUUAUUCAAAUAAGGCACAGCUUAUUUGAAAUAGGAUACAACCUCAGACACAGGGUAACACACAAGAGUGGGUGACAAGUGGGCCUAAAAGCAGCCAUCUUUCAAAAAGCGUUAAAGCUUAACACCCAUUUCUACUUAAAUACCUUAAUACAUCUGUAACCCGUUAUUAAUAUUGAGUAAUUCCAUAAGUUUAUGGAAAAUAUAAUGCUUGAACUAGUAACAAGAAAUAAACUUUCUCCAUAAUGUAAGCUUAAGCCAUAAUAGACUAUCUACUGGCAAUUAACGUAAAUGAAAACACUAUAACAACUCUGACAAGAAAACCUUAUAGACUUUUAACGUUACCCUAACACCAGAGCAUUAGUGGAAAGAUUAAAAGGGGGAGAAGGAACUCGGCAAAAUUUAACCC